CCUACGGGAUGCAGCAGUGGGGAAUAUUGCACAAUGGGGGAAACCCUGAUGCAGCGACGCCGCGUGAGUGAAGAAGUCUCUCUGUACGUAAAGCUCUAUUUGCAGGGAAGAAAAUGACGGUACCCGACUAAGACUCCCCGGCUCACUCCGUGCCAGCAGACGCGGUAAUACGUAGGGGGCAAGCGUUAUCCGGAUUUACUGGGUGUAAAGGGAGCGUAGACGGUAGCACAAGUCUGGAGUGAAAUCCCGGGGCUUAACCCCGGAACUGCUUUGGAAACUGUGCGGCUGGAGUGCAGGAGGGGUAAGCGGAAGUCCUAGUGUAGCGGUGAAAUGCGUAGAUAUAAGUAAGAACACCAGUGGCGAAGGCAGCUUGCUGGGUCGAGACUGACAUUGAGGCACGAAAGCGUGGGGAGCAAACAGGAUUAGAUACCCGAGUAGUC
RNAcentral lists this ribosomal RNA (440 nucleotides) under uncultured bacterium. Its description in RNAcentral is "partial 16S ribosomal RNA". It matches the Rfam family "Bacterial small subunit ribosomal RNA", at positions 338 to 795 of the family's 1533-position model. The record is from RNAcentral.